UCCAGUCCCCGCCUCCGGCGACCCCUCCUGAGGAAGAAAAAGAGCACGGCCCGCCCCGCCCGGUCCCCUUCCACCUCCUACCGGAGGGCCGGGCCCGGAAUCCGGCAGACUGCCCGGGACCGUGAUAAGGAAACUGAGACUUAGGGAAAAAACCUGUCAAAUAUAAGAAAGAAGAGAAAGGACAUGGAGAAGUAACCAGCAGCCUUUGCCUGUCACGUCUGGAUAUGGAAUUUGUAGUCCAUCUUUCUCAAAAUAGCUUAUCACUAUCACCAUGGAGAUGUCUGAAGUUACCCUACAUCUUUCUUCCUUCCAUUGCCUAACUCAAGGUCACAAAGACCAAUACUGCGGUGUAUGAUUACUGUGACUCCAAAUGGGCCUCCCCUGUGGCGCAAUGGUUGAGCACUGG
Talpa occidentalis (Iberian mole) is the source of this 406-nucleotide long non-coding RNA. RefSeq lists it as uncharacterized. NCBI's taxonomy places the organism in Eukaryota, Metazoa, Chordata, Mammalia, Eulipotyphla, Talpidae. The transcript is spliced from 6 exons. The record is from RefSeq and is a predicted model, not a curated record.